AGGGAAAUUGCUCAGUGGUAGAGCUCAUGCCCAAUAUGUACGAGGUCCUGGGUUCAAUCCCCAGUACCUCCA
Molecule: transfer RNA, 72 nt
Organism: Camelus ferus (Wild Bactrian camel)
Lineage: Eukaryota; Metazoa; Chordata; Mammalia; Artiodactyla; Camelidae
Rfam family: tRNA
About the family: Transfer RNA (tRNA) molecules are approximately 80 nucleotides in length. Their secondary structure includes four short double-helical elements and three loops (D, anti-codon, and T loops).
Source: Rfam